Molecule: ribosomal RNA, 575 nt
Filed under: uncultured bacterium
Lineage: Bacteria
Description: bacterial SSU rRNA
Rfam family: Bacterial small subunit ribosomal RNA
Source: RNAcentral
AGAGUUUGAUUCUGGCUCAGGAUGAACGCUAGCUACAGGCUUAACACAUGCAAGUCGAGGGGCAGCAUGGUCUUAGCUUGCUAAGGCCGAUGGCGACCGGCGCACGGGUGAGUAACGCGUAUCCAACCUGCCUUACACUCUUGGACAGCCUUCUGAAAGGGAGAUUAAUACAAGAUGUUAUCAUGAGUAAGCAUUUUCACAUGAUUAAAGGUUUACCGGUGUAAGAUGGGGAUGCGUUCCAUUAGAUAGUAGGCGGGGUAACGGCCCACCUAGUCUUCGAUGGAUAGGGGUUCUGAGAGGAAGGUCCCCCACAUUGGAACUGAGACACGGUCCAAACUCCUACGGGAGGCAGCAGUGAGGAAUAUUGGUCAAUGGACGAGAGUCUGAACCAGCCAAGUAGCGUGAAGGAUGAAGGUUCUAUGGAUUGUAAACUUCUUUUAUACGGGAAUAAACGAAUCCACGUGUGGAUUUUUGCAUGUACCGUAUGAAUAAGGAUCGGCUAACUCCGUGCCAGCAGCCGCGGUAAUACGGAGGAUCCGAGCGUUAUCCGGAUUUAUUGGGUUUAAAGGGAGCGU